UGUUCUCUUAGUGUCUGUAUAACA
This 24-nucleotide non-coding RNA is filed under the name Mus musculus (house mouse). Lineage: Eukaryota; Metazoa; Chordata; Mammalia; Rodentia; Muridae. The record is from RNAcentral. RNAcentral also lists the same sequence under 1 other name.